AUACUUACCUGGACGGGGUCAACGGGCGAUCAAGAAGGCUCGUGGCCUAGGCCAAUGGCCCACAUUGCACUUGGUGGGCGCGUUAGGCUUACCAUCUCCCCAAGUGGGAGAGUGGACGUCAUAAUUUGGUGGGUAGAGGGGGUAACGAGUUCGCGCGGCCCCUU
Molecule: small nuclear RNA, 164 nt
Filed under: Oryza sativa Indica Group (long-grained rice)
Lineage: Eukaryota; Viridiplantae; Streptophyta; Magnoliopsida; Poales; Poaceae
Description: U1 snRNA
Rfam family: U1 spliceosomal RNA
About the family: U1 is a small nuclear RNA (snRNA) component of the spliceosome (involved in pre-mRNA splicing). Its 5' end forms complementary base pairs with the 5' splice junction, thus defining the 5' donor site of an intron. There are significant differences in sequence and secondary structure between metazoan and yeast U1 snRNAs, the latter being much longer (568 nucleotides as compared to 164 nucleotides in human).
Source: RNAcentral